UCGAGAAUUUUUCUCAAUGGGGGAAACCCUGAAGGAGCGACGCCGCGUGAAGGAUGAAGGUCUUCGGAUUGUAAACUUCUGUCAUUGGUGAACAAGGCCCACGCAGUAACUGGUGUUGGGAUUGAUAGUAGCCGAAGAGGAAGAGACGGCUAACUCUGUGCCAGCAGCCGCGGUAAUACAGAGGUCUCAAGCGUUGUUCGGAUUCAUUGGGCGUAAAGGGUGCGUAGGUGGCGUGGUAAGUCUGGUGUGAAAUCCCGGGGCUCAACCCCGGAACUGCACUGGAUACUGCCAUGCUUGAGUACUGGAGAGGAGAUUGGAAUUUACGGUGUAGCAGUGAAAUGCGUAGAUAUCGUAAGGAAGACCAGUGGCGAAGGCGAAUCUCUGGACAGUUACUGACACUGAGGCACGAAGGCCAGGGGAGCAAACG
Molecule: ribosomal RNA, 427 nt
Filed under: uncultured Chthoniobacter sp.
Lineage: Bacteria; Pseudomonadati; Verrucomicrobiota; Spartobacteria; Chthoniobacterales; Chthoniobacteraceae
Description: bacterial SSU rRNA
Rfam family: Bacterial small subunit ribosomal RNA
Source: RNAcentral